RNAcentral lists this ribosomal RNA (189 nucleotides) under uncultured bacterium. RNAcentral's name for it is "partial 16S ribosomal RNA". It matches the Rfam family "Bacterial small subunit ribosomal RNA", at positions 338 to 524 of the family's 1533-position model. The record is from RNAcentral.
CCUACGGGAGGCAGCAGUGAGGAAUAUUGGUCAAUGGGCGAGAGCCUGAACCAGCCAAGUAGCGUGAAGGAUGACUGCCCUACGGGUUGUAAACUUCUUUUGUUUGGGAAUAAAAGACGCUACGUGUAGCGUUCUGCAUGUACCUUACGAAUAAGCAUCGGCUAAUUCCGUGCCAGCAGCCGCGGUAAU